GGAAGCGAUCAUACCAGCACUAAAGCACCAGAUCCCAUUAGAACUCCGAAGUUAAGUGUGCUUGGGCGAGAGUAGUACUAGGAUGGGUCCUCGUGUUGCAUUCC
Molecule: ribosomal RNA, 104 nt
Filed under: Triticum aestivum (bread wheat)
Lineage: Eukaryota; Viridiplantae; Streptophyta; Magnoliopsida; Poales; Poaceae
Also listed under: 1 other name
Source: RNAcentral